Molecule: ribosomal RNA, 254 nt
Filed under: uncultured bacterium
Lineage: Bacteria
Description: partial 16S ribosomal RNA
Rfam family: Bacterial small subunit ribosomal RNA
Source: RNAcentral
UACGUAGGGUGCGAGCGUUGUCCGGAAUUAUUGGGCGUAAAGAGCUCGUAGGCGGUGUGUCGCGUCGGCCGUGAAAACCUGGGGCUUAACUCUGGGCUUGCGGUCGAUACGGGCAUCACUUGAGUUCGGCAGGGGAGACUGGAAUUCCUGGUGUAGCGGUGAAAUGCGCAGAUAUCAGGAGGAACACCGGUGGCGAAGGCGGGUCUCUGGGCCGAUACUGACGCUGAGGAGCGAAAGCGUGGGGAGCGAACAGG